Molecule: ribosomal RNA, 406 nt
Filed under: uncultured bacterium
Lineage: Bacteria
Description: bacterial SSU rRNA
Rfam family: Bacterial small subunit ribosomal RNA
Source: RNAcentral
GGGCAACCUACCUUGUAGAUUGGGAUAACUCCGGGAAACCGGGGCUAAUACCAAAUAAUCCAUUUUGCUUCAUGGCGAAAUGUUAAAAGGCGGCUUCGGCUGUCACUACGAGAUGGGCCCGCGGCGCAUUAGCUAGUUGGUAGGGUAACGGCCUACCAAGGCGACGAUGCGUAGCCGACCUGAGAGGGUGAUCGGCCACACUGGGACUGAGACACGGCCCAGACUCCUACGGGAGGCAGCAGUAGGGAAUCUUCCACAAUGGACGAAAGUCUGAUGGAGCAACGCCGCGUGAGUGAAGAAGGUUUUCGGAUCGUAAAACUCUGUUGUAAGGGAAGAACACGUACGAGAGUAACUGCUCGUACCUUGACGGUACCUUAUUAGAAAGCCACGGCUAACUACGUGCCAG